Molecule: microRNA precursor, 122 nt
Filed under: Gossypium barbadense (sea-island cotton)
Lineage: Eukaryota; Viridiplantae; Streptophyta; Magnoliopsida; Malvales; Malvaceae
Also listed under: 2 other names
Description: MIR7502 microRNA precursor family
Rfam family: MIR7502 microRNA precursor family
Source: Rfam by way of RNAcentral
UAUUAAAAAAUUCAUCCAAUUUUAAUGUUAAAGUGACUGGCGGAAUAAUCAGAUAGUUACAUGUGGUAUGCUUACGUACAUGGGUCAGGUUUUAACAAUAGAAAUAGAUGAAUUUUUUAAUA